This 125-nucleotide small RNA is filed under the name Marmota monax (woodchuck). Lineage: Eukaryota; Metazoa; Chordata; Mammalia; Rodentia; Sciuridae. The record is from RNAcentral.
GCCGGGUGUGGUGGUGCACACCUGUCAUCCCAGUGUCUCAGGAGGCUGAGGCAGGAGGAUGGCGGGUUCAAAGCCAACCUCAGCAAUAGUGAGGCGCUCAGCAUCUCAUUGAGACCCUGUCUCUA